This 345-nucleotide unclassified non-coding RNA is filed under the name soil metagenome. Its description in RNAcentral is "partial contains 5.8S ribosomal RNA, internal transcribed spacer 2, and large subunit ribosomal RNA". The stretch from base 1 to 120 matches the Rfam family "5.8S ribosomal RNA", at positions 35 to 154 of the family's 154-position model. The record is from RNAcentral.
GAUGAAGAACGCAGCGAAAUGCGAUACGUAAUGUGAAUUGCAGAAUUCAGUGAAUCAUCGAGUCUUUGAACGCACAUUGCGCCCCCUGGUAUUCCGGGGGGCAUGCCUGUCCGAGCGUCAUUGCUGCCCUCAAGCACGGCUUGUGUGUUGGGCCUCCGUCCUCCUCCCGGGGGGCGGGCCCGAAAGGCAGCGGCGGCACCGCGUCCGGUCCUCGAGCGUAUGGGGCUUCGUCACCCGCUCUUGUAGGCCCGGCCGGCGCUUGCCGACACAUCAAUCUUUUUUCCAGGUUGACCUCGGAUCAGGUAGGGAUACCCGCUGAACUUAAGCAUAUCAAUAAGCGGAGGA